This 301-nucleotide ribosomal RNA is filed under the name uncultured bacterium. Its description in RNAcentral is "partial 16S ribosomal RNA". It matches the Rfam family "Bacterial small subunit ribosomal RNA", at positions 509 to 807 of the family's 1533-position model. The record is from RNAcentral.
CAGCAGCCGCGGUAAUACGGAGGGAGCUAGCGUUGUUCGGAAUUACUGGGCGUAAAGCGCGCGUAGGCGGUUACUCAAGUCAGAGGUGAAAGCCCGGGGCUCAACCCCGGAACUGCCUUUGAAACUAGGUGACUAGAAUCUUGGAGAGGUCAGUGGAAUUCCGAGUGUAGAGGUGAAAUUCGUAGAUAUUCGGAAGAACACCAGUGGCGAAGGCGACUGACUGGACAAGUAUUGACGCUGGGGUGCGAAAGCGUGGGGAGCAAACAGGAUUAGAUACCCCAGUAGUCCCUGUCUCUUAUAC